Molecule: ribosomal RNA, 780 nt
Filed under: uncultured Neocallimastigales
Lineage: Eukaryota; Fungi; Neocallimastigomycota; Neocallimastigomycetes; Neocallimastigales
Description: partial large subunit ribosomal RNA
Rfam family: Eukaryotic large subunit ribosomal RNA
Source: RNAcentral
UAUCUCUGUAGAGUCUGCAUAUCAAUAAGCGGAGGAAAAGAAACUAACUAGGAUUCCCUCAGUAACGGCGAGUGAAGCGGGAAGAGCUCAAAUUUGAAAUCUUCAAGGUUUUACCUUGACGAAUUGUAGUUUAAAGAAGUGUUUUCUGUUGAGUGUUUUGGUAAAAGUUCUUUGGAAUAGGACAUCAUAGAGGGUGAGAAUCCCGUAUUUGACCAUUAUUUCCAACUUUGUGAUACACUUUCAAAGAGUCGGAUUGUUUGGGAAUGCAGUCCAAAAUGGGUGGUAAAUUUCAUCUAAAGCUAAAUACUGGCGAGAGACCGAUAGCGAACAAGUACCGUGAGGGAAAGGUGAAAAGAACUUUGAAAAGAGAGUUAAACAGUACGUGAAAUUGUCAAAAGGGAAGCGUUUGACACCAGUGUUGUUUUCUCGAAAAUCAAUUAAAAAUGGCUGGAUUUUGUGUUGUAUUGACCUUUAUAAGCUUUCUGCACUUUUUUCAUGUCUUUUUUAAUGCACUUUUCGUUUAACAAGUCAACAUCAGUUUCUUUUGUUGUAAAAAGGUCAUUGGAAGGUGGCUUUCUUUUCGGAGAAAGUGUUUAUAGCCUUUGACUUCCUGCAAUCGGAGAGACUUGAGGUCUGCAGCGUAGAUCCUUCUGGAUUAGAUUCAUUUGUGCUAAGUUAUAGCCUUUUCAUAGACAACUUGUUGACUAUGAUUUAGUCAUGUAGCUUACUCGCUUAUGUUAUUUUACCUACGCUUAGGAUGUUGAUCUCUCACAGUCGAGC